RNAcentral lists this ribosomal RNA (312 nucleotides) under Triticum aestivum (bread wheat). RNAcentral's name for it is "partial small subunit ribosomal RNA". The record is from RNAcentral. Lineage: Eukaryota; Viridiplantae; Streptophyta; Magnoliopsida; Poales; Poaceae.
AUGACUCUAUGUAUGUAUAACCUUCCUCCUUGGAUGUGCAUGAAGCGGAAGUUCAUUAUGAUGCUAGUUCUCAUCCAAGGCCCUAAGCAACCCGGCAACGACAUUGAUGUGUACCUAAGGCCAUUAGUUGAAGAACUUUUACAGAUGUGGAAUGGAAACGGUGUACGUACGUGGGAUGAGCACAGACAGGAGGAAUUUAACCUUAAGGCAUUGCUGUUCGUGACCAUCAACGAUUGGCCCGCUCUCAGUAACCUUUCAGGACAGACAAACAAAGGAUACCACACAUGCACGCACUGUUUAGAUGACACUUAA